GAUGAACGCUGGCGGCGUGCCUAAUACAUGCAAGUCGAGCGAACAGACGAUGCGCUUGCUCCUCUCACGUUAGCGGCGCACGUGUGUGUAACACGUGUAUAACCUCCCUAUAUUUCUGGUAUCUCUUCGGGAAUCCGGAUCUAAUACCGUAUAAUCUCUUGCUCCGCAUGGUUCAAUAGUGAAUGACGGCUUUUCUGUCACUUCUCGAUGGUUCCGCGCCGCUUUAGCUAGUUGGUAAGUUAACGGCUUACCACGGCGACGAUGCGUAGACGACCUGAGAGAGUGAUAGGCGACACUGGAGCUGAGACACGGUCAAGACGACUAAGGGAGGCAGCAGUAGGGAAUCUGAGGCAAUGGGCGAAAGCAUGACGGAGUAAGGGCGCGUGAGUGAUAAAGGUCUUCGGAGCGUAAAACUCGGUUAUGAGGGAAGAACAAAUGUGGAAGGAAAUAUGCAGGGAGUGACGGUAAUGAAUCAGAAAGCAACGGCUAACUACGUG
Molecule: ribosomal RNA, 497 nt
Filed under: uncultured bacterium
Lineage: Bacteria
Description: partial 16S ribosomal RNA
Rfam family: Bacterial small subunit ribosomal RNA
Source: RNAcentral